Oncorhynchus mykiss (rainbow trout) is the source of this 1745-nucleotide non-coding RNA. The record is from RefSeq and is a predicted model, not a curated record. Lineage: Eukaryota; Metazoa; Chordata; Actinopteri; Salmoniformes; Salmonidae.
UAGUUAACUAGUGAUUAUUUUAAGAUUGAUUGUUUUUUAUAAGGUAAGUUUGAUGCUAGCUUGCAACUUACAUUGGCUCCUUGCUGCACUCGCGUAACAGGUGGUGCAAUGUGAUCGGUGUCCAAAAAUGCAGAUUACCGAUUGUUAAGAAAAUUUGAAGUCGACCUAGUCUGUACGGGGGAUAAUUUGAUGUAGGCCUCAUAAAACAUUGUGUACUUCCUACAGGAGAGGCAGUGUGAGCGGACUGACUCUGAAGCUGAUCAAGGCAUCAGUGACAGAGAUGCUGGAUACUGUCUAAUGACGACUAUGUCAACGUGGCCAGGUCUUUCUUCAAACUCUCUUCUGCUCUGUCCUUCUCUCUCCUGCCCUAUUUCAGUUUAAUGAGAAGGCAGAGGCAGUGGUCCCUUGCUUCAAACACCUGGUCCAGGCCAACGUUCGCAACAAGAAGAUCUUCAAAGAGACUGUGCAGAUCAUGCAAGCUAAAGGCACCACAGACUGCAAGUCUGGUUUCCACUUUGCCUUCAAUCAGCUACUAAAUGUAAAUGACUCAAAGCUCAACACUCUGAAUGACCGCACUAUGGACUAGUGAUGCCCAAUUCUUUGUUACUACUAUAAAUUACAUUUAAUUAUAGAUAACAGACCAGUAGAACAUAUAACAGUGGCUCUCUAGGAGUAGACAGUGUUAUAUAUGGAAUGGGUGAUCCUGUUUGGCUUAGUUGGUAAGAGUGUAACAGUUUUUAAAGUACUAUGUGAAUUUCACCAGGUUCAUAUAUUAAUAUGUCGUGUUGAUUUGUUAUUAUGCAUGCUUGCAUCCUGGGAGAAGGGGAGUGUGUACUCGUGCUCAAAUCAUUGAUCUGCAAAGUCCACGUUGAUGCACUGGGAGGUAGGCACGCUUUUUCUGUCUUCAGAAAAGUUUGAUUCUUUUAAGUACAAAGUCAUACACACAGUGUUUUGUUCAUGAAUAAUAAUGUAUAUUUAGAGGUUGUUAAUGAAUUAAUUAUAGGAGAAACGAGACCAAGAUGAGACUCUGGACAAGGCGGAUACGGUAUAUUUGAGGCAUUUUAAUCUAGCAUAGUAAUAUCUGGCAAACGUGCAGCACGGCUCCUAUCGUCCACUCUUAGGGAGGUUUCGGAAAAAGAGGGCGUAACACAUAUUUGGGCAGUACAUUUAUACAUUGAAAUGACGUAGGUAGAUUCUAGUAGUCCUGGCUCCUGGUUGGUUGUUCGUAGGUGAUAGACAGUCCUCUCCAGCCUGUUGUCUGUAUCUCAUUGGUUCUUGACAGAGUUCUUUGUCUUUGUAGCCCAUCCCAAAGGGUUUGGAGCAGUGUAUAUUCAUGGGUUAUCCAUGUGUUUAACAACAGUCCGUGAAUGCGUCAUUACAUGUUUUAAUAUGUUAUUACAACAAGGUCACUCGUAAGUGGAUGCACUUGUAAUUGUACUUUUUAGGAUGAUCUCAACAUUCUGAAUUCAACAUAUGGUUAAUAGCUAGUUAAGGUAUUAGCAGGCUAUUGUAUGUGUGAACGAUGGCUAGCUCCUCGAAUGAUCCCAGUCCCUCCUAUUGUGCAUCUGUUGUAGAAAGAGGCGACGAUCCGCAGAACAGAUGUGCUCUACAAACGUUUUAUUUCCUUUUGGAUGCAGAUGCACGAUGCAGAGAGUGAGUUCUGCUUAAUUAAAACUACCUGAUCAAUCAAUCAAUCAAAUUUAUUUUAUAUAGCCCUUCGUACAUCAGCUGAUAUCUCAAAGUGC